Cotesia glomerata is the source of this 216-nucleotide long non-coding RNA. RefSeq lists it as uncharacterized. Lineage: Eukaryota; Metazoa; Arthropoda; Insecta; Hymenoptera; Braconidae. The record is from RefSeq and is a predicted model, not a curated record. The transcript has 2 exons.
AUUGGCACCUCUUGAAAAUCGAACAGUAUUCGAAGAUAUAUCUCGAAUAUUUCGUUAUGCAGCAUUAAACUUGGCUGCUUUACAUGCACAAUUUCAGCAUAAGACGGUUGCACAAACUGCUUUAAAAGAAGCUAUUGUAAUGGCCCAAGAAGCUGGAGAUAAUGUUUGUUUACAACUAGCACAUGCUUGGACGUAUUAUUUGAUAAGUAAAAAUAA